Molecule: transfer-messenger RNA, 81 nt
Filed under: Phycisphaerae bacterium
Lineage: Bacteria; Pseudomonadati; Planctomycetota; Phycisphaerae
Description: partial transfer-messenger RNA
Rfam family: transfer-messenger RNA
About the family: Bacterial tmRNA, also known as 10Sa RNA or SsrA, is named for its dual tRNA and mRNA-like properties.
Source: RNAcentral
GGGGGCGAAUUGGAUUCGACCGGACGAGUGAGGCGUUGGUUGCGUGCCGAGGUUCCCGGUGGCCUCGUUAAACCCGGGACA